AGGAUAAACGCUGGCGGCGUGCAUGAGACAUGCAAGUCGAACGGGUUCUCGGGCUUGCUCGAGAGCUAGUGGCGGACGGCUGAGUAACGCGUAGGUGACCUGCCCCGAAGUGGGGAAUAACUGCCCGAAAGGGUGGCUAAUACCGCAUGUGAUCGCUCAUUCAUUUGUUCGAUCAAAGCAGUAAUGCGCUUCGGGAGGGCCUGCGUCCGAUUAGCUCGUUGGUGGGGUAAUGGCUCACCAAGGCGACGAUCGGUA
This 255-nucleotide ribosomal RNA is filed under the name uncultured bacterium. RNAcentral describes it as "partial small subunit ribosomal RNA". It matches the Rfam family "Bacterial small subunit ribosomal RNA", at positions 26 to 285 of the family's 1533-position model. The record is from RNAcentral.